RNAcentral lists this ribosomal RNA (324 nucleotides) under Leptodactylus cunicularius (rabbit-burrow frog). RNAcentral's name for it is "partial 12S ribosomal RNA". It matches the Rfam family "Bacterial small subunit ribosomal RNA", at positions 1050 to 1522 of the family's 1533-position model. The record is from RNAcentral. Lineage: Eukaryota; Metazoa; Chordata; Amphibia; Anura; Leptodactylidae.
CGUCGCCAGCUUACCGCGUGAGCGCCAUUAAGUGAGCUUAAUGCCCAUACGCCAACACGUCAGGUCAAGGUGCAGCUAAUGAGAUGGGAAGAGAUGGGCUACACUUUCUACCAUAGAAAAAACGAAAGACUACCUAUGAAAUCUAGUCAGAAGGAGGAUUUAGUAGUAAAAAGAAAACAGAGUGUUCUUUUUAAUCCGGCACUGGGGUGUGUACACACCGCCCGUCACCCUCUUCAAGGCCCAAUCAAAGUACAUAACCAAACUUUGCCACAUAGAAGAGGCAAGUCGUAACAUGGUAAGUAUACCGGAAGGUGUGCUUGGAAA